UGAUCGGGUGGUCGAUGGCGGGCAGGCCGGCCUGGUGGGUCAGCAACCACCGGACGGGGAUGCGUUCCUUGCCGUUCACC
Molecule: transfer RNA, 80 nt
Filed under: Sphaerisporangium rufum
Lineage: Bacteria; Bacillati; Actinomycetota; Actinomycetes; Streptosporangiales; Streptosporangiaceae
Description: tRNA-Thr
Source: RNAcentral